GGCGUGCCUAAUACAUGCAAAGUAGAACGCUGAAGCUUGGUGCUUGCACCGAGCGGAAGAGUUGCGAACGGGUGAGUAACGCGUAGGUAACCUGCCUCUUAGCGGGGGAUAACUAUUGGAAACGAUAGCUAAUACCGCAUAAAAGUCGGCAUUGCAUGAUGUUGACUUGAAAGGUGCAACUGCAUCACUAAGAGAUGGACCUGCGUUGUAUUAGCUAGUUGGUGAGGUAACGGCUCACCAAGGCGACGAUACAUAGCCGACCUGAGAGGGUGAUCGGCCACACUGGGACUGAGACACGGCCCAGACUCCUACGGGAGGCAGCAGUAGGGAAUCUUCGGCAAUGGACGGAAGUCUGACCGAGCAACGCCGCGUGAGUGAAGAAGGUUUUCGGAUCGUAAAGCUCUGUUGUAAGAGAAGAACGAGUGUGAGAGUGGAAAGUUCACACUGUGACGGUAACUUACCAGAAAGGGACGGCUAACUACGUGCCAGCAGCCGCGGUAAUACGUAGGUCCCGAGCGUUAUCCGGAUUUAUUGGGCGUAAAGCGAGCGCAGGCGGUUAGAUAAGUCUGAAGUUAAAGGCUGUGGCUUAACCAUAGUACGCUUUGGAAACUGUUUAACUUGAGUGCAGAAGGGGAGAGUGGAAUUCCAUGUGUAGCGGUGAAAUGCGUAGAUAUAUGGAGGAACACCGGUGGCGAAAGCGGCUCUCUGGUCUGUAACUGACGCUGAGGCUCGAAAGCG
This 738-nucleotide ribosomal RNA is filed under the name uncultured Bacilli bacterium. RNAcentral describes it as "bacterial SSU rRNA". It matches the Rfam family "Bacterial small subunit ribosomal RNA", at positions 41 to 761 of the family's 1533-position model. Lineage: Bacteria; Bacillati; Bacillota; Bacilli. The record is from RNAcentral.